Molecule: RNA transcript, 720 nt
Organism: Salvia miltiorrhiza (redroot sage)
Lineage: Eukaryota; Viridiplantae; Streptophyta; Magnoliopsida; Lamiales; Lamiaceae
Gene name: HVA22-like protein k
Exons: 3
Source: RefSeq, a predicted model, not a curated record
CUCUUCCCGGUGCAGCAAAUUAGCUCCACUCGUUCCCGACCCAACAAGACAGUAGAUCGAUUCCACUAUGCCCAGUCCCGUCGUUUCCUGCGCCACUUCGGAGCUCCGAUGCUCAGCCCUUUCUCGUAUCCCCGCCUCCGACGCGGGUAGCCUUCAGGUCAGGCUGCGGUUACUUCUUUGUCCAUUUGGUUCCAAUAUUGUAGUUCGUACAGCAUGGUGAGUUUUGAGUUAUAUUCUCAGAUGAGCGUCGAUGAUGAGCCAACAGGUGUAAUGAGAUUUUGCAUUACUCCAACAUAGGGUUUAGCUUCUGGCAGUUUCUAACCACAUCACUGUUCGGUGGGGGUUGUCUUACCUGUUUAUUCUACAUUCAAGGCCAUUGAGACGAAGGAUCAAGAUGACCAACACAAAUGGCUUGUAUGCUGGGCUGGUAUGUCAUGGGAUAUGGCUUCUUUUGCCUUCAAAUACUGAUAAGUGAUGCUUGUACAAGAACUUUUGUUCUCCAAUAUUUUAAACUGUGAAAAAGUCUUAUUUUGAUAUGCAUAAUCGUCCAGAUGAAGUAUAACAGUCUUUGGUUUUUGGUCCUUAACUGAAUGACCUUAUAAUUUGACAUAACUUACUCUUAUGCUUUUAUUGACAGUAAUCAGAUAAAAAUGGAAUAUAAAGAAUGCUUUCUGUAUGCCUUUGUUUAUUUUGGGGAGUUACAGGAAAUUUCUUCUUGUU